This 747-nucleotide ribosomal RNA is filed under the name uncultured Glomerales. Its description in RNAcentral is "LSU rRNA". It matches the Rfam family "Eukaryotic large subunit ribosomal RNA", at positions 38 to 633 of the family's 3401-position model. The record is from RNAcentral. Lineage: Eukaryota; Fungi; Glomeromycota; Glomeromycetes; Glomerales; Glomeraceae.
GCAUAUCAAUAAGCGGAGGAAAAGAAACUAACAAGGAUUCCCCUAGUAACUGCGAGUGAAGAGGGACAAGCUCAAAUUUUAAAUCUAUCGGGUUUUACCUGAUCGAGUUGUAAUUUGAAGAAGCGUUUUCUGCGUUUUUGGUCAGCUCAAGUCCUAUUGAAUGAGGCAUCAUGGAGGGUGAUAAUCCCGUCCGGUUGAUCAUUUGCGUUUUACGAUACGCUCUCUAAGAGUCAAGUUGUUUGGGAUUGCAGCUUAAAAUGGGAGGUAAAUUUCUCCUAAGGCUAAAUAACGGCGAGAGACCGAUAGCGAACAAGUACCGUGAGGGAAAGAUGAAAAGAACUUUGAAAAGAGAGUUAAACAGUACGUGAAAUUGUUGAAAGGGAAACGAUUGAAGCCAGUCGUACCUUCGGGUAAUCAGCCUUUCGGGUGCGAUUCUGUGGAGUGUGAGGAGCUUAACACCUUCAUGCCUUUGCAUAUUUGUGCUCUUGGGUGUACUUGCCCGUGUGGUUGGUUAACAUCAAUUUUGAUUAUCAUAAAAUGACUGGAGGAAUGUAGCUUCGAUCUCGUAUUGAAGUGUUAUAGCCUUUGGUAGAUGUGAUGAUCGAGAUUGAGGAUUGCAACGGAUACCCUUCGGGGCUACCUGCCUGGUCUCUGAUCGUUGCUCUGGUGCCGAAAGCGUGCUUACGGUUAUCAAAGUCGAUGGUCAAUANGUUAGAACGGGUUAAAUUCGUUAAGGAUGUUGACGUA